This 1391-nucleotide long non-coding RNA is filed under the name Cricetulus griseus (Chinese hamster). Its description in RNAcentral is "lncRNA (ENSCGRG00015030321.1)". The record is from RNAcentral. Lineage: Eukaryota; Metazoa; Chordata; Mammalia; Rodentia; Cricetidae.
CUGUACACGCACUGCUUGGAGCUUAUGAGCCUUUAUAAGGGGACGGGAUUCUUGGCUCGGGGGUCUCCCUAAUCGGAAACUGAUCAUCUGUCUCUCAAGAUGCAUUAAAGCUUUACUGCAGAAGGAUCCGAGUGUUCUGUGUCAUUCUUGCUGGCGAGACGAUCGCGCGGGACAUCUGGUGCCGAAACCCAGGAACUUGUUGACAUCGCCGGCGCCGCGGGAGACCCCUCGGAGGACGGGGCGGAUUCAGAACUGCAGGGAGGGGGCUCCAGACCACAGUCAGUGUAGGACUCCAGGUGCCGCAGAGGCCAUGAAGUGGGAGAUGUGGUUCUGCUCCUGCACUCUGCACCAGGCCUCUUUGACCCUGAACACAUGAGAUAUGACAUCUACUCAGGACCCUACUCAGGACCCUUCCAUGGUAGAGACAGACAUGCCAGAUUCUGACUGCACCCUGUAUCUCCUCCAAAAAAAAUGGAUGGCUGCAGAAAAACUUCCACCUGGAGGCCUGCUUUGGAUGUGACAAAGCCAGUCACAUAGCCUUUCACCUCUACUGCCUAGUCCCCGCCUGGAUUGGACAACAGGAUGCUGAGGGAACUGAUCGUCUCAUCCAGCCAAGACAGUAUAUCUUUCAGGUUCACUCAUCCUGCCUUGGUCAAGGCCAGGCCAUAGAGGGUCCUCCAGAUAAUGCCAGCACCUUCAUUAGCUCCUGAGACUUCACCAUUUGUACCACCUCUACAAGCUCAAAUGGGCACCUACCCAACAACUGAAAUCUGGUUUUAAAGGUCAUACCCCCCUCAUGUCUCCCUUGCCUCUUCUGUACAACCAGGAUACUUCUCCAUUCCAUUCACUCUGGCAGUUGUCACCUCUCCCAUGGCUAGCCCCAUACAUAGGGCCAAUGAUAACAAUCUACUUUUUUCUCCUUGGAACCUGCCUUCUCAGCUCCCUCAAGAAACAGACGCCUGAGGUCUACAGGCUGGCAGUUAACUGAAAACUUCUCCACCCAUACCUCCUGCUGAAUGUGAGCUCACCUACUCCAGACUUUCUCCCUCCCCACAUGGUCCCUUGUCAGCAGGAAGAAGCCAGAUUUAAACCGACGCCCCUAUACCCAAGGAGUCUGGGAUGUUUAGGUGGAAGCCAUACUGGCUUUACAAAGAGGUUGGAAUGGUUGGUAGCCCUGUCCCAAACCCGCCCUCAAAGUGCCAAGGGUGGUGUCCACUCCCUCACUUCAGUCCAGACUCCACCCCUAAAAUCCUAACCCAUCCUUCUAUUGGUGGCUCCACCCCCGGAGAGCAUUAAAAGCCCCCACCUCUGGAUUCACCUUGUGGUUUCUUGUUUUCUGUUCCCCUGGGGCCACCCAGGAAUUCUUUGCUCAGAUUAAACUUUGAUUUAUU